Non-coding RNA from Durio zibethinus, 1760 nucleotides. Lineage: Eukaryota; Viridiplantae; Streptophyta; Magnoliopsida; Malvales; Malvaceae. The record is from RefSeq and is a predicted model, not a curated record.
UCAUCCCAAAAGUGCCCCUAAAAGGAAACUCUAAUUUGUGGGAGAACUCCAAAAGUCAAGUACAUACAUGGUAAUUUUGCUAUGUAGCUUUUCCGCCUUUGUUUUCCCGCCUGUCUGUCCUCCCGAUCUAUAAAAAAACCAUGGGACUGGAAACUCCUCAUAACUCAGAGUCUCGAACCACCCAACUCACUCUGUUUGUCAACCGGUUAGCUUACUGAUUCAAAGCAAAAGCUUCUCUGAGUUUUUGUGUUAUCCUAUUAUAAGAACACAACUUUAAAGUGCGUUAAUACCGGUUCAGACUGAAGAGAAUGGAAGGUGUAUCUGAGAUAAAGUUAUGUACUAAUGGAUUGGAAUCUGUUGAAUGUGGAAACCAAAAUGCUCCUUUGAUGGAGAUUGGAUUAGGGAAUUAUGGGUGCUCGCAUUACAGAAGGAGAUGUAAGAUCAGAGCACCAUGUUGCAAUGAGAUCUUUGAUUGUAGACAUUGUCAUAACGAAGCUAAAAAUUCCUUGGAAUCUAAUCCUCUUCAGCGACAUGAUAUUCCACGCCAUGAAAUUGAAAAGAUCAUUUGCUCCCUAUGUGACACAGAACAAGAUGUACAACAGUGUUGCAUCAAUUGCGGAGUCUGUAUGGGGAAGUACUUCUGUUCUAAAUGCAAAUUCUUUGACGAUGAUGUUUCCAAAAACCAAUACCACUGUGAUGAAUGUGGCAUAUGCAGAACUGGAGGUGAGGAGAACUUCUUUCACUGCGACAAAUGUGGAUGUUGCUAUGCAAAAUUAAUGAGGGAUGCACAUCGUUGUGUGGAGAGAGCAAUGCACUGCAAUUGCCCUGUUUGCUUUGAGUUUCUUUUUGACACAAUGAAAGAUGUUACUGUCUUACCUUGCGGACAUACAAUGCAUUUGGAAUGUUUGCGAGAGAUGGAGCAACAUUAUCGGUACUCUUGUCCAGUCUGCUCGAAAUCUAUCUGUGAUAUGUCCAAUUGGUGGAGAAAGCUCGAUCAAGAGAUUGCCUCAACCCCUAUGCCUGCAAUAUACCAAAAUAAGAUGGUAUGGAUUCUCUGCAACGAUUGUGGAGCCACCUCCCAUGUCCAGUUCCAUAUUGUGGCACAUAAAUGCCUGAAUUGCAAGUCCUACAAUACAAGACAGACACAGGGAGGCCGUGAUGCUUCAUGCUCAUCAGGGAUGUCUGAGAUGGUGAGCUGACCACAGCUUUGACAAAAGGUAUUCAGACCGACGAACGACUUUGCCACUAUGAUUCUUAACAACAUGAUAAAAGAGCUAGUGGCAAAAGAACACGAAGAAGCUUCAUGGACAAAAAAAGCUAGAUAGAACAGAUCCUGGAACAGCUUUCCCUUCCUAGUUGUUUUACCAAUCUAGCAAGGCUGGACCUUGAUCCCUCAAACAAAAUGUAUGACAUUUUGAAAUAGGAAUUUGGCAUUGGCACAACCCUUAAAGACAAUAAGACCGUGGAACAAUGGUAAGGACAAUACGAUCAAUGGUCGGUCGUCACUCGUCACUGACUUGCUUGGACGAGUAGGAAGCAAGGAUGUCAUUUCUAAGGGCGAACAAAUCAAGACCAGCAAAUGGAACAAGUCAUAUUAUUAUCAAACAAGUGCCUAAAAGACCAUGUAAAGCCCAACGAACAAGGGCCCGUCUCACAUAACAUAGUCUAAAAUUCGAAGUGUAAUGUUAGAUAAAGCCUGUGGGAAUCGAACGGUUGUUAAAGUAGUAUUGAGUUAGCCAUUCUGUUAUGGGCUUUGAAGU